AGGUGGGGUCCUCAGUUCGAGCAAGCAACUUACAAGAAUCGCCAACGCCUCUACCUUUCGGAGCAGACCGAUGGAAGUGUUCCGAAUACUCUUGUUGUUGCAAAUUGUGAAAUUGUCAAACCCAGGGUUGCAGCUGCCGAACAUAUUUCACAGUUCAAUGAGGAAGCACGUUCGCCAUUUGUGAAAAAGUCCAAAACUAUCAUUCACCCUGGAGAGGUCAACAGAAU
This 227-nucleotide unclassified non-coding RNA is filed under the name Hevea brasiliensis (rubber tree). Lineage: Eukaryota; Viridiplantae; Streptophyta; Magnoliopsida; Malpighiales; Euphorbiaceae. The record is from RNAcentral.